Molecule: ribosomal RNA, 316 nt
Filed under: uncultured bacterium
Lineage: Bacteria
Description: bacterial SSU rRNA
Rfam family: Bacterial small subunit ribosomal RNA
Source: RNAcentral
AAUGAACGCUGGCGGCGCGCCUAAUACAUGCAAGUCGAGCGAGAAGACGUAGCAAUACGUUUGUAAAGCGGCGAACGGGUGAGGAAUACAUGGGCAACCUACCCUCGAGUGGGGAAUAACCAGCCGAAAGGUUGGCUAUACCGCGUACGCUUCCGGGUCUCCGGAUCCGGAAGGAAAGUCACACCGUGGGUGUGACGCUCAAGGAUGGGCUCAUGUCCUAUCAGCUUGUUGGGAGGUAACGGCUCACCAAGGCAACGACGGGUAGCUGGUCUGAGAGGACGAUCAGCCACACUGGCACUGCGACACGGGCCAGACU